RNAcentral lists this ribosomal RNA (301 nucleotides) under uncultured bacterium. RNAcentral describes it as "partial 16S ribosomal RNA". It matches the Rfam family "Bacterial small subunit ribosomal RNA", at positions 509 to 807 of the family's 1533-position model. The record is from RNAcentral.
CAGUCGCCACGGUAAUACGUAGGGUGCGAGCGUUAAUCGGAAUUACUGGGCGUAAAGCGUGCGCAGGCGGUUUUGUAAGACAGGCGUGAAAUCCCCGGGCUCAGCCUGGGAAUGGCGCUUGUGACUGCAAAGCUAGAGUGCGGCAGAGGGGGAUGGAAUUCCGCGUGUAGCAGUGAAAUGCGUAGAGAUCAGGAGGAACACCGAUGGCGAAGGCAGCCCCCUGGGCCUGUACUGACGCUCAUGCACGAAAGCGUGGGGAGCAAGCAGGAUCAGAGACCCCUGUAGUCCCUGUCUCUUAUAC